UAUAAGACUGGGAUAACUUCGGGAAACCGGAGCUAAUGCCGGAUAACAUUUGGAACCGCAUGGUUCUAAAGUAAAAGAUGGUUUUGCUAUCACUUAUAGAUGGACCCGCGCCGUAUUAGCUAGUUGGUAAGGUAACGGCUUACCAAGGCAACGAUACGUAGCCGACCUGAGAGGGUGAUCGGCCACACUGGAACUGAGACACGGUCCAGACUCCUACGGGAGGCAGCAGUAGGGAAUCUUCCGCAAUGGACGAAAGUCUGACGGAGCAACGCCGCGUGAGUGAUGAAGGUUUUCGGAUCGUAAAACUCUGUUAUUAGGGAAGAACAAAUGUGUAAGUAACUGUGCACAUCUUGACGGUACCUAAUCAGAAAGCCACGGCUAACUACGUGCCAGCAGCCGCGGUAAUACGUAGGUGGCAAGCGUUAUCCGGAAUUAUUGGGCGUAAAGCGCGCGUAGGCGGUUUCUUAAGUCUGAUGUGAAAGCCCACGGCUCAACCGUGGAGGGUCAUUGGAAACUGGGAAACUUGAGUACAGAAGAGGAAAGUGGAAUUCCAUGUGUAGCGGUGAAAUGCGCAGAGAUAUGGAGGAACACCAGUGGCGAAGGCGACUUUCUGGUCUGUAACUGACGCUGAUGUGCGAAAGCGUGGGGAUCAAACAGGAUUAGAUACCCUGGUAGUCCACGCCGUAAACGAUGAGUGCUAAGUGUUAGGGGGUUUCCGCCCCUUAGUGCUGCAGCUAACGCAUUAAGCACUCCGCCUGGGGGGUACGACCGCAAGGUUGAAACUCAAG
Molecule: ribosomal RNA, 788 nt
Filed under: uncultured Staphylococcus sp.
Lineage: Bacteria; Bacillati; Bacillota; Bacilli; Caryophanales; Staphylococcaceae
Description: bacterial SSU rRNA
Rfam family: Bacterial small subunit ribosomal RNA
Source: RNAcentral